ACGAUAAGACAUAUCUAUAUCGAACUACAAUGGCAUUGUACUUGUGAAAAUCAUUUGAAUAUUUGAGAUAAAGAAUAUUUUUUUGUCUUUUUAAAUACAAAUCCACCGGCCAAAUGCACACAAACUACUUGAGGAGAAGUAUGUCAGAGUGGGAAUCGGCAUUCAAAUUUAUGUUCGAGCUCAUAAAACGCAAUAAAUGUCGAGAACAUUGCUAAUGGAUAAUAUCGUUAAAUACCUCUUAAGUGCUUUCAACGAGUUUAUGGUGUCAACGAUGUUCAUUUGUAUUUAUGUAUUUUAAAAUCAAUUAAAACUUAUGUCGAAUUAAAUAGAUGAAGCCCUUUUGUUGUGAUACCUUAUUAAAUCUUUGCCGUCGCAACAAUCAGGGCAUUAUUUCCAUCAACCUAAUUAUUAUUACCUCUUUGUACAGUUCUUUCGUAGACUAACGCUUAAUGUAUGUGAAUAUGUAUGUAUAUUAAUUACAAAGUAUAUACAUUUUUAGGUUCAAUUUAAACUGGUACCGAAGGCUGUUAACUAAUUGAAAUAACAAUUAAAUAUACAUAUAUCAGUUAUAUUUAUAUGUAAAUAUGUGUCGACGACGACGGUUUAACAAAACACCAUAACAAAAGGGUUUCCCAGUCUUUAAUAUUUACAUACAUACAUAUGUAUACGGCACGAGUAUCAGAAGCAGAUUUUGUUUUAAUAUCAUUUCUUUCACAUAAUGACUUUCCUGCAAUGCUAGUUUAUUUGGUGUUGAAGUAGAAUUAAUGCUCUCCGAUCAGCAGGAUGGCUUUGAAAUGAAUGAGUGCAGUCAAAUGUAUUUCCGUCUACAGAUGCAUAUACAUACAUGCAGACGUGUGCGUCCUAUCCCUUACUAUACCGAAACCGAAGAAAGCCUGCUGUGCUGUAUAGCGGUUACUAAUCACAAAAAUUUGUACAACUGUUUAAAAAGCCUUAAUGUACUUCUAAUAGCAAAGUUGGCAUUACCCUGCUGGCAAUUCAAAGUAAACAGUUGCUGUAUCCAAUUACGAUCUGUAAUCCCGUCGAGUGGUGUGGCACGCUUCAACAAUUUGCUUAUUGACUCAACAGUUAAAUGCAAACAUACAUAUAAAAGUAUUCCUGGACAGGGUACCUAGAAGACGAGUUCGUAUGUAUGUCUGUAAAUACGCGAACUAGUUCCUCAGUUUUCGCGGCAUACUGUAGUAAAAAGCUACCAUACAAUUGUUCAGAUCGGACAACUAUAGCAUAUGAAUUGACACCAUACAAACUCAACGAUGAAGCAGAGAACUUUUACAUUGGAUGACACAUCAUCAUAAUAAUUGGCACAGAUUAUUACCAAGACAAUAAUGUCAUCUCCGAAGAAAUUGUUCAGAUCGGAUAACUAUAGCAUAUGAAAAGCUGCCAUAUAAACUGAACGAUUAUAAUUAAGUUUUUCCAAUUCCUUUGUAUUUGUGACAACCGUAGUUAAUCCUUUUCCUGGUUUUUACUACGACAUGCCAUAAUGUUGAUACAAAAUAUUCUUGCUUCAUUUUAUUAACGCAUCUACCGCCAAUACAGAUAUUUGAGAUAUAUGCUCAACCAAAAGAAGGAAAUACAAUCAUUAAUAUUAUAGGGUGUAUGAGAAAAAUACACACCUUUCUAUUCAUAUCAUUAAAAUAUCUCACAUAUUGAGAUCAGAAAGUCGAAAAUUAUUAUUUUAGAUAUAUAGGGAUUAGGACAGGGGAACAUCUGAACUGAUUGCAUUAAUUUCGAUAGUUCAACGCCAGAGUACUUGAAUUAUAAUAUAUCCAACAAUAUUUAUAAUUAUUUAAAAAUGUUAUAAUUAUUAGUAUAAUAAAAAAAGUUAAGUAUUUAAAUAUUUUCGUACCUCUAAUUUAAAUUCCGACACAAAUGAUACGAGAUUGUGUCCCUUUACUUUCAAUUGAUACUAUACCAAGCUUGCCAGUUUUUCUUGACACAUAGUACAUCAUAGGUUGUUUUUGAUAACUUUCAAUUUAGAAAUUUAAAUAACAUAAAAUAAAUAAAUAAACAAAUAAAGAAAAUUUGCCAAUAUGACGUCCUGGACCUAAAUUCCUAAAUUGCCCAUCUGAGCGGGCUGGCCCUGAUAUCAAGUAAAUCGAUAUUGUCGAUUUUUAGAAUUAAGUUGGUUAUAUUUUUAUUUGAAAAAGGUAGUUUCAGCAUAAUUUCAGUCAUAUGUGACUGAUCGCAUCACUCAUGUACUCAUAAUCAGUAUCUAAGGUUAGAAAAUGUAGAGACUGUUUUUCAUUUCGAGAUGAGAGGUGC
This is a long non-coding RNA of Bactrocera dorsalis (oriental fruit fly), 2280 nucleotides long. RefSeq lists it as uncharacterized. The record is from RefSeq and is a predicted model, not a curated record. The transcript has 3 exons. Lineage: Eukaryota; Metazoa; Arthropoda; Insecta; Diptera; Tephritidae.